Carassius auratus (goldfish) is the source of this 500-nucleotide long non-coding RNA. RefSeq lists it as uncharacterized. The transcript has 5 exons. NCBI's taxonomy places the organism in Eukaryota, Metazoa, Chordata, Actinopteri, Cypriniformes, Cyprinidae. The record is from RefSeq and is a predicted model, not a curated record.
AGUGAGGAAUGAAACCGCAGUGACUCCAGACUCAGAUGUUCUGAAUCAAGUGACUCUCCAGCUCUCAGAUCAUUGGCUGUGGAUUCUGGUUGUUUUUAUUAGUCUAGUCCUCAUCAUCAUCUUGAUCUGUUUCUUGUGGCAGAAAAAGAAACUUGGAUGUUUUCUGAACGUCUUUGUGCGCCAUGAUUCAGAAAACAGGGUUCCUGAAUCUGAAGCUCAGAUCUGAAGAAUCUAAUUCACUGAAUCACUCUGUGUUGAACUGAAUCUCCCUUCACCGUGACGUUCAGUGCUGAGUUUAGGAGGAAAUAUGAAAAGUGAUGAAGAUCCUGACCAUCAUCUGAACAUGCAGCUGUUUAACUCUCAGAUUCAGAUUUCCGGUCUCAACGAAUCAGAAGAAUCAGUUGAUCUUGUGUUCAGAUCAGUGAAACCUCUUUAACUCUCAUUGUUUCGGCUCAUUCACACAGUUUUAAAGUGUUUAUUAAAGAUUUCACUGUGGAGGA